AUCACAGUCAGCUCACUCUUGGGAAUGGAUGUUGAGGCCUCGGGUGUGGGUUCUGUCUCACCAGCUACAAGUCCGGGGCACACCCUGUAGACACACCAGGAAAGGCAUUGAGCAUGCAUCAAAUUGAGAUUGCCCCCACUGUCUCAGGAAUUGGGCUCCUGGAUACACAAACUAAACACAUCCUUGUUGCUGCGGCACGUUGGCAAGGGAGAUGAGAGGGGUAUAAGUAUGGGACAGAAGAAGGAGAGAACGUUAGGAGAGACAAGAUGAUGUAACCAAGCAAUAAAGUUUCUGCAUUAGAGGUAUCAGAACUGCUCUGUCCUAUCCGGAGACUUCUGAAGGUCACAGAGGCGAUGAUAAUUGGGUGAUUUCAGGGAUUCAUCAAAGACUAAAGCACCAAGUAAUGUUAAGUGCCACAAAAUGUUGCCAUUAGAAUGUUUUUAUGAAACUGCAUCAAAACUAGACCCUAAUCCAGGCUGAUACAAGGCUCCUCCACUGAAUACAAAGGGUGAGAUGGGACCUCAGAGACAUCUAAAUCAACUCCUUUAUUUUAUAGAAGAGAAAAUGAAAGGAAAUCAAGAAAUUCAUUACUGCGCUCAUCAGGAGAAGGCAGAUACAUAGUAACAGCAUCUAAUAAGGGUUGUAUCCCUUUAUUCUUCAAGGCACUUCCACAGAGCACAGGAACAGCUCUCUGAGCCACAGUUACUUUACGUAUUGCAGGGUAUAACUACAAAGAAUACACAAAAAUAGCAGUUUUUCCUUAUUAAAGCCUUAGCUUGGAAGUAUUAUACAUCUGUCAGAACAAACCAUUUCCAAAUAAGAGUUUUACAAAUGCACA
Molecule: long non-coding RNA, 838 nt
Organism: Antechinus flavipes (yellow-footed antechinus)
Lineage: Eukaryota; Metazoa; Chordata; Mammalia; Dasyuromorphia; Dasyuridae
Exons: 4
Source: RefSeq, a predicted model, not a curated record